This is a long non-coding RNA of Alexandromys fortis (reed vole), 4175 nucleotides long. RefSeq lists it as uncharacterized. NCBI's taxonomy places the organism in Eukaryota, Metazoa, Chordata, Mammalia, Rodentia, Cricetidae. The record is from RefSeq and is a predicted model, not a curated record. The transcript has 2 exons.
UUGGGGCGGAGUUGGUUCCUGCCUGCUUAGCGGGAGAAACCUUAGCAAGAAGUUGGAACUGGGUGGGGUGGAGACACUACCUGGAACCACACUCUGGCCUCGUCUUCUGCCUGCCUUCCGGAUGCUUAGCCACAGAAACUUUUAGUAAACCUCGUACAGCUGCUGUCCUGCCUGCUCGUUGGCUGUUGCAGCUUCAAAAGCAGGCUUAUUUCUAGGGACUGUGUACGUUUCUAUUUGCUUUUUUGUUGUUUUGUUUUUCCUUUUAGAGUCUGAAGCGAACUCUUUCGCUCGCAUUCCCUUUACACACAGAAGUGGUACUUCCCUGCCCACACCAUACCUUUUCUCUGGAAAUGGCUGCCUCUAGACCCCACUUAGAAGAGAAUGUGGCUGUAUGUGGGUGUUAGGCUUCCUAUUUUAAGGUUUGUGUCAAAGAAACCAUUGCUCUGUUUUAUAGACUCAGGGACCAAAGGGCAGAAGACUCGCUGUGACUCAACACUUCCUUUCCUCCCCUUAAAGAAACAGAUGCCCUAGGAUGGAGCGCCCAGCUUCUGUUAAUACCCUGCUGUGGCAACAGUGCAGAGAAGGGACAAAUCUGGUGGACAGAGGACACAGACGGGAGGCAGGCUGGAAAACUGCACUCGGACUAGGCCAACAGAGAAGUCACCAUUAACCAAUGAAAUCACUGAAUAGCUGCAGUCACCACCCCAGGUGCCCUUUCGGACCUAAAGAUGUCAAAGACAGGACCCUGCCUGGAAAGACAAGCUCCAUCCCAAGUGGAAAGACAGGAAGAAGGAGUGUGAUACCAGAAGACCAACAGACUUCAGUGCCUGGCAUUGCCCUGUGAGCAACAUUAGAAUCUGCGAGAAGCUGGAAAGAAUUUCCACUCUAUCCAAGGACUUGCUUCUUCUUCCUCUUCAUUGGUUACUGUACUCCUGGGCUAGCAAUGCCACAGUUUUAUACGCAGAGAGAUCCUUGUAAUGAGGACUACAUCAGCAAACAUGGAGGCCAGCUAUAACUGACUGGAAAGACACAAAGCAGGACAAAGGCCAAGCCUCCCUAGACAAAGACGACACUCCUUGCUAGAGGGCUGAGUGCUCACAAAGUCUAUCUUUUUGAUAUGCUAAUGAACACAAAGGAACCCUUAGACACAGGGACCCAAAGUUUCAACACAUUAUUUUCAAACUCACAGGCCUCAGAGUUGGGCAUACAGACAUGCCAGCUAUCAUAAGCUCUGCUCCACCGAAGGAGCUCUGAUGGAACCUCGCUGUCCUUUGUGAAGGGAGCAGGCAAAAGCACCUUGGCCCCAGUACUGCCAUUUUGACUUCAGACUCCAUUUUACCAGCAGGGUGAAACAAAGUUCAGGUCCCCAAGCCUUAGGGAGGCUGAGAACUCUCCAAUGGCUGAUCACCCUCCUCCCUAAACCGUAGAAAGUGUCUUUAUGCGUCUUUAGCCCUCUCUAGCAACGUUAUGGCUGUUCCUAACAUCAGAAGGAACAAAUGAAUCUGAUUGGCUGGACUGAAAGACUUGCAUUGUAUGUCAGCUGACAGUGAUGGGGCCCUCAAGGAAAGUCCCUCAUCUUUGAUUUCUGAUUGGUGAAAAUUGUAACUUGGCAACAAAUGUUUGUGAAUUUUAUGCUAUGAACCCCACUUUCACCCCUGCUUGGGGCUGUCAGGAGGAAAAAGUCUCCCAAGUCCCUGCCCUGCAGCCCUGCUUAGGUGGCGAUUUACUAAACCUUUGGAACCCGUUAAGUGUUGUCUCUCUCUUUCCUCGAGGCACAUAGCGGGCUAGGUGUAACACUCCGGGGCCUGAAAAAAGCACUAGGAUUGAAGUUAUAUGCGUGGAGGCCUCUGCUCAAUCCUACCUCCAGGAGAGGACGGCUGCCACCCAACACAGACGGAAAGAGAAUCUUUAACCCAGUGUUGGGUAUGGGGAGAUUUUCCAGAAGAGGGAAGGCAUUGGCUGAGUUCCAGAUAACUGACUGGAAUUACUUGAAGACUUCUCAGAGCUCCCCCCACUAAUAAUCAGUUAAAGAAAACUAAAAACACAAUAGAAGUUCUUAUUUUUGAAACGGUGUUUGGCUUUCUCUGCUUCCUGUGUACAGAAAAAAAUGUGAACAGUCAGUGUCCGGCUCCUGCUGCCUGCCACCGUACCUUCCCACCAUCGUGGCCUCGCUCUCUGGAACUCUGCGUUCCAUACCAACAGGAAACUGGCUAACACAGGAACCAAGAAAUAGGGCAGUGAUACGGCCACCGAUAACCAUGAAGUCGAGAAGUCUUUGCAGCCACUGCUUACAGCUCAGGGUUUGCCUUGGGUCUUAAAGGAGACUUUGAACAUGGGUUUCGAGCAGUGCUGGAACCCUUAAGAUUUUGGCAGCUCAGACAGGCAAACUGAAUGCAUGUUACAUUGGGAAGGGGUGAGAGCCUUUCAGGGCCAGGCUUCACCAGCACCAGCUGUCCGUCAACCCUCUGCCGCACCGUUUCUAACAAGCAAGUUACUCCUUAGCCGUGAAGCAAGCAGUUUUGCUCCAUUGUGUGUUUUCACUAUACUCCCUUGCCGGAGGCCUGAAAGUACAGAGCCCAACAAUCACAGACUGAAGCUUCAAAGGCUGGGGGGACCAUCUGGACAGGCUGAUCUUCAGGAGGUGAGGCUCCCUUGGGAGAAGUCAGUCAUUGAGAAUGGGAGGCUUUAUAGCUGGGCCCCACUUUCUGCUCACCCUCUGUUUCCUACGUGUGACAAGCCAGUCUCCUGCUCCUGCCUCCAGGCCUUCUCUGCCUGCUGUUAUGUAUUCCCCACCACGAUGGAACCAAAGCACACCUUUUCUCCCUUCAAAAGUGCACUGUAUAUCAGGUAAAAGCUUGUGUGCAUGUGUGUGUGCGCGUGCUUGACUGUGUGUGCAUGUGUGUACACUUACGUAUGGAGGUCAGAAGUUCAAGCAUCUUCCUUAGUCACUCUCUACCUCGUUUUCUGAGUCAGGGUCUCUCACUGGACUUGAACUUCAUGGAUUUUGCUAGAAUGGCUGGCUGGCCACCUUCAGGGAUUGACCUGUCUCCACCCACCAGUACUAGGGUUACACCACCUUGUCUGACUUCCACAUGAGUAAUGGAGGUUCCAACUUAGGUCUUCAUGCCUACACAGCCAGAACUCCACUGACUGAGAUGUCUUCUGGGCCCUGAUCCCAGGUGAGCUCUGUGAGCACUGAUGUGUGGCCAGCGCUCUGUGGGGGUCGCUAUGUUACUUCUUUCCUCCUUUAAUUCUUAUAGUGAACCUUGUGGUAGGCAUGGCCUUAACCCAUACUUGACAUGGGAGGACCCAGGUUUAGAGCGAUGACAUUACAAGGCCAUACAGAACAAGGUUGUGUGUCUGCAGAGCCCAAAUUCCUCUGCAGCCCACAGUUGUAAGUUUUCUGUAUAUUCUGCAACCUGGAGAGGACAUCAUAGCACACCCAGCACCAGCGUGCUCUGCCUCAGCCCUCACACUCGCAACACAGCAUCCAUCUCACUGUGCACUUGAAGGAACUUUUUAUUAUUUUCCCUAGAAAGAACCUCUGUGAGCUAACCCCUCACAGUCUGCGCAGUGUUGUUAAGCCGUAAGACACAUUCUUCAACUGCUACCCAGAAACACACGGCUGUAGGGCAGAAAGACAUAUGUCUUCAGGCCUUCUAAGACAUUUAGCCAUUGCCUCCACUCACGUUAAGAUGAAAUAUCAGCCUUGAACCCAAAGUACACAGGGAGCGACACCCUCGAAAACAGCUUUCUGUCCAAAAGUUCUAGAUGUGGUCACUGGGUUUUCCUCAUAGGCACAUGAAGUGCACCCCACACGCUUCAGACCUGUAUUGCUCCAACAUGCGUAUAGCACCAAGGUGUUGACCCAGCUCCCAUAAGGUCAAGGUGCUCUUGUUCUUGAAUUCAGCCCACUGUAAACUUUAACUAUAUCUUGAGUAAAUAGAAGGCAGAAGCCAUACUGUCUGCCUUGGCAGGCAAAAGGCUUUCUCCAGGGAAUAGAAUCAUACGUUCUCGUGGUAUCAGGGCAAGGGUGGAAAAGAAAACAUCUGAGGAGCAGCAAUGGCAGUGCUUCCGGGGCUGGCAGGACUGAGGUGAGGGAGGUUCCCAUGCGUCCUCCAUAGUGGUAAUGUGUACAUGUCAUCUUCAACUAAACAAUAAACAUCUAAAGUUUU